AAGACCUUACUUCAUAGGAUCAUUUCUAUAGUAAGCUCUUCACGAGAUCUCACAUUGGGUAAUAUUUUAUAAUUUUAAAA
Small nucleolar RNA from Plutella xylostella (diamondback moth), 80 nucleotides. RefSeq annotates it as small nucleolar RNA U3. Lineage: Eukaryota; Metazoa; Arthropoda; Insecta; Lepidoptera; Plutellidae. The record is from RefSeq and is a predicted model, not a curated record.